AAGUCUGACCGAGCAACGCCGCGUGAGUGAAGAAGGUUUUCGGAUCGUAAAACUCUGUUGGUAGAGAAGAACGUUGGUGAGAGUGGAAAGCUCAUCUUGUGACGGUAACUACCCAGAAAGGGACGGCUAACUACGUGCCAGCAGCCGCGGU
RNAcentral lists this ribosomal RNA (151 nucleotides) under uncultured bacterium. RNAcentral describes it as "partial 16S ribosomal RNA". It matches the Rfam family "Bacterial small subunit ribosomal RNA", at positions 379 to 521 of the family's 1533-position model. The record is from RNAcentral.